UCAGACCGGAGUAAUCCAGGUCAGUUUCUAUCUAUACUUGAAUUUUUCCUAGUACGAAAGGACCGGAAAAACGUGGCCUAUACAUACGCAAGCCACAGUUAUUUAAUUAUGACUUAAACUUAAUAAUGCAGUAACCUAAAAUAAUUUUCUAAACAAGAACCG
Molecule: ribosomal RNA, 162 nt
Filed under: Rhinella paraguas
Lineage: Eukaryota; Metazoa; Chordata; Amphibia; Anura; Bufonidae
Description: partial 16S ribosomal RNA
Source: RNAcentral